GAUGAACGCUGGCGGCGUGCCUAAUACAUGCAAGUCGAGCGAACAGACGAGGAGCUUGCUCCUCUGACGUUAGCGGCGGACGGGUGAGUAACACGUGGAUAACCUACCUAUAAGACUGGGAUAACUUCGGGAAACCGGAGCUAAUACCGGAUAAUAUAUUGAACCGCAUGGUUCAAUAGUGAAAGACGGUUUUGCUGUCACUUAUAGAUGGAUCCGCGCCGCAUUAGCUAGUUGGUAAGGUAACGGCUUACCAAGGCAACGAUGCGUAGCCGACCUGAGAGGGUGAUCGGACACACUGGAACUGAGACACGGUACAGACUCCUACGGGAGGCAGCAGUAGGGAAUCUUCCGCAAAGGGCGAAAGCCUGACGGAGCAACGCCGCGUGAGUGAUGAAGGUCUUCGGAUCGUAAAACUCUGUUAUUAGGGAAGAACAAAUGUGUAAGUAACUAUGCACGUCUUGACGGUACCUAAUCAGAAAGCCACGGCUAACUACGUG
RNAcentral lists this ribosomal RNA (497 nucleotides) under uncultured bacterium. Its description in RNAcentral is "partial 16S ribosomal RNA". It matches the Rfam family "Bacterial small subunit ribosomal RNA", at positions 28 to 507 of the family's 1533-position model. The record is from RNAcentral.